GUUACAGCAGCCGCGGUAAUACGUAGGGACCGAGCGUUGUCCGGAUUCAUUGGGCGUAAAGAGCUCGUAGGCGGCUGCUCAAGUCGAAUGUGAAAACUCGAGGCUCAACCUCGAGCCUGCAUUCGAUACUGGGCGGCUAGAGUCUGGUAGGGGGAUCUGGAAUUCCUGGUGUAGCGGUGGAAUGCGCAGAUAUCAGGAGGAACACCGGUGGCGAAGGCGGGAUCCUGGGCCAGUACUGACGCUGAGGAGCGAAAGCGUGGGGAGCAAACAGGAUUAGAAACCCGGGUAGUCC
RNAcentral lists this ribosomal RNA (292 nucleotides) under uncultured bacterium. RNAcentral describes it as "partial 16S ribosomal RNA". It matches the Rfam family "Bacterial small subunit ribosomal RNA", at positions 505 to 796 of the family's 1533-position model. The record is from RNAcentral.